UCAACAAGCCAAUUUUGUUCU
Molecule: non-coding RNA, 21 nt
Filed under: Caenorhabditis elegans
Lineage: Eukaryota; Metazoa; Nematoda; Chromadorea; Rhabditida; Rhabditidae
Source: RNAcentral